UACGUAGGCGGAAAAUUAAGUCAGUAGUGAAAUCCUGCAGCUUAACUGUAGAACUGUUAUUGAUACUGGUUUUCUUGAAUAUAGUUGAGGUAGGCGGAAUGUGUAAUGUAGCGGUGAAAUGCUUAGAUAUUACACAGAACACCGAUUGCGAAGGCAGCUUACUAAGCUAUGAUUGACGCUGAGCUACGAAAGCGUGGGGAGCGAACAGGAUUAGAUACCCUGGUAGUCC
RNAcentral lists this ribosomal RNA (229 nucleotides) under uncultured bacterium. Its description in RNAcentral is "partial 16S ribosomal RNA". It matches the Rfam family "Bacterial small subunit ribosomal RNA", at positions 568 to 796 of the family's 1533-position model. The record is from RNAcentral.